Molecule: ribosomal RNA, 379 nt
Filed under: uncultured bacterium
Lineage: Bacteria
Description: bacterial SSU rRNA
Rfam family: Bacterial small subunit ribosomal RNA
Source: RNAcentral
AUUGAACGCUGGCGGCAUGCCUUACACAUGCAAGUCGAACGGCAGCACGGGAGCAAUCCUGGUGGCGAGUGGCGAACGGGUGAGUAAUAUAUCGGAACGUGCCCGGUCGUGGGGGAUAACGUAGCGAAAGCUACGCUAAUACCGCAUACGAUCUACGGAUGAAAGCGGGGGAUCGCAAGACCUCGCGCGAUUGGAGCGGCCGAUAUCAGAUUAGGUAGUUGGUGAGGUAAAGGCUCACCAAGCCGACGAUCUGUAGCUGGUCUGAGAGGACGACCAGCCACACUGGGACUGAGACACGGCCCAGACUCCUACGGGAGGCAGCAGUGGGGAAUUUUGGACAAUGGCGCAAGCCUGAUCCAGCAAUGCCGCGUGCAGGAUG